AUUCCUGUGUAUUUGAGGCCUUCUGAAGACCCAGUAAAGCAAAGAAGACUUGGUUCCUGGUGGGUCCGAGCACAGCUAACACAAGUCUCCUUUUGCUUCUUUCUGGCUAUGGCACAAAAACACAACCAGAGUCCAGUUCCUCAGACCUCCAGAAUCACAACCUAGGAAGUUUCCAGCUCUGCCUCUGGUCUGGGAUUUCACUCUGCUCAGCUGGGUUAAAAGAGGAAAGGAUCUCAGGUGAAUACAACUUCUGAUUUAUUACACGUGGUUGGAGCUGAGGAAGAUGUGUGAGAAGGGGAAGAUGGCACAUCUGGUACUGGUUCCCAUGCAGAGCCAAAUUCCAGCUGACUUUGAGUCAAGAUCACAAGGAAAAAUCCUCAUUCCUUUUUCCUUGCCUUCUGAUGAAAGACUCAGACAGCGUCUGCACCUGACCUAUACUGCUCAGCUCCUGGAGGAAUAGCCAUUUUGUAGCAAGACAUUUUUGAAGCUGAGAUUCAUGUGGUGCUUGCUGGCUUUUGCUGUUUGCUGACAAGUGAAAUUACGGAGGAAAAUAAUCACUUCUUGUUGAGUCCUGAGAGAUGUCCUGUGAGUAGUAGCAGCUGUGCUGAGUUGUUGGAGCUGGCAGAACUCAUCCAUCUCUCUUUUUCCUGUCCUUUUAAACCAGUGCUUGUUUAGGGUCAAAUCUUCCUGCAACUACAAAGAAAAUUCCCACUGAAAAUGGGUGCCUUCAUCUGAGUUUUAUUCCUAAAACUGUUUUCUUAGUACUGACAGUUUGAUAAAUGUUAUUUAUGUUAUAUAACUAAAUGUUAUUUAGUGCAUUUUUUUAAGUGUAUGGAGUGCAGUAUUUGCAGUUAUAUGCCAGCAUAGAAAGUUGCAGCACAGGAGAUGAAUGAUCCACCACAUGAAGCCUUGUUUCCUGCAAUUUUCUCACAACCCUGUACUCCUGUGCUGAUUUGCAUUUAUACUUGCCCUUGCAGUGGGGGAACUGCAAAUACAGCUCCCCUGUUUUAAGAAGCCUGCAACUCUCAUUCAGCUGUGGGGAGCUGGUACAGCCCAGCAUUGCCAGCAGCAUGUGGAGCUGCAGAUUCUACUCCUCCUAGCUUAUCCAGACUCCUCCAGUAAGUGCCACCACUUUCACUAGCAGCAAUAAACCCCAUCCUUUGAGCUGUGCUCAGUGGAAACCAAACCCAUGACAUUACUGCCAACAGGUCUUAUUCAUGCCUGUGAGGGGUUUAGCAGCCCUAUUGCUGCUUUUUGUACAUGCAGGAAUCUUGAAGUAUGUUUCUAAAGCUGCAGUCUAAUAGCAGAUCUCAUCCUUGACAUCAGACCUAUUCCUUUUUCCUAUCUUUUUCAUUCCCUUUCAAACGAUAUGAGAAUGAUCCAUAGUUGCUCUCUUGAAGCAGCCAUAUGGCCAGCAAUAUGUUAUUAAUGCGUGUACUUUCCUUUUUUCCCCUCUCAUCAGCACUACUACAUCAGGAAAUCUAAGCAGUCCCA
This is a long non-coding RNA of Lagopus leucura (white-tailed ptarmigan), 1494 nucleotides long. RefSeq lists it as uncharacterized. The record is from RefSeq and is a predicted model, not a curated record. Lineage: Eukaryota; Metazoa; Chordata; Aves; Galliformes; Phasianidae. The transcript has 3 exons.